GGGGGAACCCUGAUCCAGCCAUGCCGCGUGAGUGAUGAAGGCCUUCGGGUUGUAAAACUCUUUCGGCGGGGACGAUAAUGACGGUACCCGCAGAAGAAGCUCCGGCUAACUUCGUGCCAGCAGCCGCGGUAAUACGAAGGGGGCUAGCGUUGUUCGGAAUUACUGGGCGUAAAGCGCGCGCAGGCGGCCUUUCAAGUCAGGGGUGAAAGCCCGGAGCUCAACUCCGGAAUUGCCUUUGAAACUGUCAGGCUCGAGUACGGGAGAGGUGAGUGGAAUUCCCAGUGUAGAGGUGAAAUUCGUAGAUAUUGGGAAGAACACCGGUGGCGAAGGCGGCUCACUGGCCCGUUUCUGACGCUCAGGCGCGACAGCGUGGGGAUCAAACAGGAUUAGAUACCCUGGUAGUCCACGCCGUAAACUAUGAACGCUAGCCGUUGGCAGGCUUGCCUGUCAGUGGCGCAGCUAACGCAUUAAGCGUUCCGCCUGGGGAGUACGGCCGCAAGGUUGAAACUCAAAAAAAUUGACGGA
This 525-nucleotide ribosomal RNA is filed under the name uncultured bacterium. Its description in RNAcentral is "bacterial SSU rRNA". It matches the Rfam family "Bacterial small subunit ribosomal RNA", at positions 374 to 917 of the family's 1533-position model. The record is from RNAcentral.